CACCAGCCCCUCGAGUGGUGGGGAUGAUUAUUUGGCCUAAAGCGUCCGUAGCCGGCCGAGUAAGUUUCCCGUUAAAUCCAGCGUCUCAAGCGUUGGGCUGCGGGAAAUACUGCCCGGCUAGAGAGUGGGAGAGGUGAGCGGUAUUCUGGGGGUAGGGGCGAAAUCCUUUGAUCCCCGGAGGACCACCAGUGGCGAAGGCUGCUUACUAGAACACGUCUGACGGUCAGGGACGAAAGCUGGGGUAGCGAAC
Molecule: ribosomal RNA, 250 nt
Filed under: uncultured archaeon
Lineage: Archaea
Description: partial 16S ribosomal RNA
Rfam family: Archaeal small subunit ribosomal RNA
Source: RNAcentral